This 68-nucleotide transfer RNA is filed under the name Ictidomys tridecemlineatus (thirteen-lined ground squirrel). RNAcentral describes it as "Spermophilus tridecemlineatus (thirteen-lined ground squirrel) tRNA". It matches the Rfam family "tRNA". From Rfam's summary of the family: Transfer RNA (tRNA) molecules are approximately 80 nucleotides in length. Their secondary structure includes four short double-helical elements and three loops (D, anti-codon, and T loops). The record is from Rfam by way of RNAcentral. Lineage: Eukaryota; Metazoa; Chordata; Mammalia; Rodentia; Sciuridae.
AGGGCUGUAGCUUAGUGGCAGAGCGCUUGCCUGGCAUGCAUGAGGCACUGGGUUCAAUCUCAGCACUA